Molecule: long non-coding RNA, 419 nt
Filed under: Equus asinus (donkey)
Lineage: Eukaryota; Metazoa; Chordata; Mammalia; Perissodactyla; Equidae
Description: lncRNA (ENSEASG00005024169.1)
Source: RNAcentral
UCAACUACUGGCUGUGUAAUCCUGGGCAAGACACUUGACUUCUCAUAACUUCAGCUUCUUUAUUUGUAAAAUAAAGAGUUGCUGUGAGAUUUUGUCUCGACUUACACAUGGCUUCCUCCAGGAAGCAUUCUUCAGAGAAAAAAUCUGACCUCCUGUGCCCCCAUCUAGAUGUCCUUUUCAGCUGGUUUGGCCAAAUCAGGAUCCAAUUCAGAACUGUGCAACGCAUCUGGUUGCUAUGUCGCUUAACCUACAACAGUCCCUUUUAUCAUGACGUGACCUGCUGAAGACACCAGACCAGUUCCACCUUCUGGAUCUGAUUGCUUCCUCUAACCUUUGUAUUUCCUGUAAGCUGGACGUUAGAUCUGAAGACUUGGUCAGAUUUAAGUUGAACAUUUUUAUCAAGAGAACUUCAUAAGUAG